CGGGCGCACGGCGGAUGCCUUGGCACAGGGAGCCGAUGAAGGACGCGGCAAGCUGCGAUAAUCCCCGGCGAGGAGCACACAUCCUUCGACCCGGGGGUCUCCGAAUGGGCGAACCCAUCCACAGCAGUGUGGAUAUCCCCACCCCGAACACAUAGGGGCGGGGAGGACAACCCGGGGAACUGAAACAUCUAAGUACCCGGAGGAGAGGAAAUCAAUCUCGAGACUCCCCGAGUAGCGGCGAGCGAAAGGGGACCGAUGGCCAAACCGUCGAGCGGGCAUACCCGGCAGGGGUUCCGCCGACGGGGUUGCAGGGCCGCGCAUCCGGGGGCUGCCGCCCCCGGGCGCAGGUCCGGCUGGGGAGCGGAACGGCAUGGGAGGGCCGGCCGCAGCGGGUGACAGCCCCGUACGCGAACCCAGACCGGACGGCGCGACGCGGUCCCUGAGUAGGGCCGGGCACGUGAAACCCGGUCCGAACCUGGGUGGACCACCAUCCAAGCCUGAGUACUACCCUGUGACCGAUAGCGCACCAGUACCGUGAGGGAAAGGUGAAAAGCACCCCGGGAGGGGAGUGAAACAGUACCUGAAACCGUGCGCCCACGAGCAGUCGGAGCACCCUUGUGGUGUGACGGCGUGCCUUUUGUAGAAUGAGCCAGCGAGUCGCUGGCGCGGGGCGAGGUUAACCGAAAGGGAGCCGUAGCGAAAGCGAGCCUUAACAGGGCGACUUGAGUCCCGCGCCGCGGACGCGAAGCCGGGUGAGCUAUCCGUGGGCAGGCUGAAGCGGGGGUAAGACCCCGUGGAGGGCCGAACGCACGUCGGUUGAAAACGGCGGCGAUGACCUGCGGAUAGGGGUGAAAGGCCAAUCAAACCCGGAGAUAUCUCGUUCUCCCCGAAAUAGCUUUAGGGCUAGCGUCGCGCGUUCACCGCCGGAGGUAGAGCACCGGAUGGACGAGGGGGCUUCGCCGCCUACCGAAUCCAACCGAACUCCGAAUGCCGGCGGCCCAGAGCGCGGCAGUCAGAGCAUGUGGGCUAAGCUGUGUGCUCGAGAGGGAAACAGCCCGGACCGCCCGCUAAGGUCCCCAAGUUCCAGCCGAGUGGCAAAGGAUGUGCGUCCGCCCAGACAACCAGGAUGUUGGCUUAGAAGCAGCCAUGCAUUCAAAGAGUGCGUAACAGCUCACUGGUCGAGUGGACAUGCGCCGACAAUACACGGGGCUAAGCUGGACACCGAAGCGGCGGGAUUUUAUUUCAUAGAAUCGGUAGGGGAGCUUCCCAUGGGCGGUGAAGCCGCCGGGCGACCGGCGGUGGAGCGCAUGGGAGUGAGAAUGCUGGCAUGAGUAGCGAGAGACGAGAGAGUAACUCGUCCGCCGUGAACCCGAGGUUUCCUGGGCAAGGCUAAUCCUCCCAGGGUCAGUCGGGGGCUAAGGCGAGGCCGGUAGGCGUAGCCGACGCGCAGCAGGCAGACAUUCCUGCACCGCGCACGCGGCGCUACGACCGACGGGGCGACGGAUGGGGGUGGCUCGGCGGGGUUCUGGACGUCCCCGUGAUGGAGCGCGGCCCGCGGACCAGGGAAAUCCGGUCCGCACGAGGGCGAGGCUCCGGACGAAGCGAUCAAGCGAAGCGAGUGAGCCCGAGGUCCCUAGAAAAACCCCUAGGCAGGCGCGUGCGCGCCCGUACCGCAAACCGACACAGGUGGGUGGGUAGAACAUACCGAGGCGAUCGGGUCAACCAUGGUCAAGGAACUCGGCACAAUGGCCCCGUAACUUCGGGAGAAGGGGUGCCCGCGCGUACGUGAACGGACUUGCUCCGGGAGCGGAGGCGGGCCGCAGUGGAGAGGCCCAAGCGACUGUUUACCAAAAACACAGGACUCUGCAGAAGCCGCAAGGCGACGUAUAGGGUCUGACGCCUGCCCGGUGCCGGAAGGUCACGCGGAGGAGUUAGCCGCAAGGCGAAGCCCCGAAGCCAAGCCCCGGUAAACGGCGGCCGUAACUAUAACGGUCCUAAGGUAGCGAAAUUCCUUGUCGGGUAAGUUCCGACCUGCACGAAAGGCGCAACGACUUGGGCGCUGUCUCGACCAUGGACCCGGUGAAAUUGCACUGGUCGUGAAGAUGCGACUUACCCGCGGAAGGACGGAAAGACCCCGUGAACCUUCACUGCAGCUUGGCAUUGGCCGCUGGUCCCGCGUGUAGAGGAUAGGCAGGAGGCACAGAUCCGGAGGCGCCAGCCCCCGGGGAGCCGCCCUUGGAAUACUGCCCUCGCGCGACCGGCGUCCUAACCCGAGGCCGUCGACCGGCUCGGGGACCGUGCCAGGCGGGCAGUUUGACUGGGGCGGUCGCCUCCUAAAGGGUAACGGAGGCGCGCGAAGGUCCGCUCGGGACGGUCGGCAACCGUCCUUUUGAAUGCAAGAGUACAAGCGGGCUUGACUGCGAGGCCCACAAGCCGAGCAGGUGCGAAAGCAGGCUCUAGUGAUCCGGCGGCCCCGAGUGGGUGGGCCGUCGCUCAACGGAUAAAAGGUACUCCGGGGAUAACAGGCUGAUCUUGCCCAAGAGUCCACAUCGACGGCAAGGUUUGGCACCUCGAUGUCGGCUCAUCGCAUCCUGGGGCUGGAGCAGGUCCCAAGGGUACGGCUGUUCGCCGUUUAAAGCGGUACGCGAGCUGGGUUCAGAACGUCGUGAGACAGUUCGGUCCCUAUCCUCCGUGGGCGCAGGAGAAUCGAUGGAGGCUGCCCCCAGUACGAGAGGACCGGGGUGGACGCACCUCCGGUGAACCGGUUGUCGACCAACGGCACGGCCGGGUAGCCGCGUGCGGCGCGGAUAACCGCUGAAGGCAUCUAAGCGGGAAGCCGUUCCAGGGAUUAGUUCUCCUUCCGGUAAGGGCCCAGGUAGACUACCUGGUCGAUAGACGGCAGGUGCAAGGCUGGCGACAGCCUCAGCCGAGCCGCACUAAUCGCCCGAGCUCUUCCGGA
Molecule: ribosomal RNA, 2959 nt
Filed under: human gut metagenome
Description: bacterial LSU rRNA
Rfam family: Bacterial large subunit ribosomal RNA
Source: RNAcentral